UAAUGUCAAGGGCGAGUAUUUAAUCUCUGGCUUUGGAACACGCAAUUCACAGUACGAUUUUGUUUCAAACAGCAGAACAAUUAAACACCAACAAGUAAUUAAUUCACUUAAUUCCAAAAUGCUUUACAAAGCCAUUAUUUUUACAGUUGUCAUUACAUGUAUUGCUGCUCAUUCCUGCUGUCAUUCAGAUUCGUCGGGAUGUUGUGAUGGCGGUAGGAAAGAUGACUGCAAUGAUGAGUCAAGGAAUUGUUACUCCGUCCGAAAAUCAUGUUCGAGCGAAUGCGAUUGCGGACAUAAAAAUCAUGGUUGCUGUCAUGGUGACAAUAGGGUCUCCUAUCUCGAUGGACUAGGGAAUAUUGUGUUCGUCCAAACAUCGGAUUCGUCCGACAACUGCGGAAAGAAAAAGAGUACUUGCUGUCAUAACGGCAAUGACCAAUAUUAUAUCGAUUCACAUGGCCAUUUAGUCUAUGUCCGGAAACGGGAUUCAUGCGGCUGUAAUUCCAUAUACGGAGAUAGUUGCUGGUAUAAUUCGGAUAAUCCUUGGUCUUUCUACACACGAGGAAACUGUAAUUGCAGGGAGAAAUCCUCCUGUUAUAAUAGACCAACGUACAGAUGGUGGACUGAUGAAUGCUCGGGCAACGGUUGGUCGGGCAGAAGCAUAUGUUCCUUUUGCCGCAGCAAACUGAAUGGGGCCUCCUGCAACGAUUUCUGCUAUAAUUCACCAAGAAGAUGCACAUGCGGACGAAAAAGUGACUCUUGCGAUGAUCCCUGUUAUGACCGGUCAUCGAGAUGUUCCUCGGCCCCAAUAUAUUAUUGGUGCUAAACUGAAUAAUAAUUGAAAAUUCGAAAUCUCGUCACGUGCAGUGAUUCUUCUCAUAGGCUUCUGCAGUGCCGACAGCUAGUGGAUGUAUACAUUAGCAAGAUGACAGGACAGCUUGCACCAUUAGAUGAAGCUCUGGAGAAAGAUUAAUGAAUUCGGGAGAAUCAUAUGUACUUGUGUAACAUCACAUUUGAUAAUAUCAUGUAAAUAUCGACGUGUUAUGAUGGAAAAUAAAUACGUGCCUUGUCACGAGCUUAA
Long non-coding RNA from Diachasmimorpha longicaudata, 1078 nucleotides. RefSeq lists it as uncharacterized. Lineage: Eukaryota; Metazoa; Arthropoda; Insecta; Hymenoptera; Braconidae. The transcript has 3 exons. The record is from RefSeq and is a predicted model, not a curated record.